RNAcentral lists this ribosomal RNA (693 nucleotides) under Ricordea florida. Its description in RNAcentral is "eukaryotic LSU rRNA". The stretch from base 270 to 423 matches the Rfam family "5.8S ribosomal RNA". Lineage: Eukaryota; Metazoa; Cnidaria; Anthozoa; Corallimorpharia; Ricordeidae. The record is from RNAcentral.
AACCUGCGGAAGGAUCAUUACCGAGAAAAASGAGUGAAAAGCGAUACUUUGUGAACCGUACCGGACGCACCUUUUAGGGGUCGGUCCCUGCGGCCGUUAAAUGGCAGACGGAGGAGGACGACGACGGCUUCCGCGAGGCGAGGAAGUUGCGCCCCCUCGGUUUYGCGGCCAAGUCUCUUGCCGUCUGCCGGCCCCUUUAGCGUUACCGCAAAGCACGUAUUUGUUGCCGUAUUURCUGAGCUAGUGCCUUUGAAAAGAAAAAGAGAGACAACUUUUGACGGUGGAUCUCUUGGCUCGCGCAUCGAUGAAGAACGCAGCCAGCUGCGAUAAGUAGUGUGAAUUGCAGAAUUCAGUGAAUCAUCGAAUCUUUGAACGCAAAUGGCGCUCUUGGGUUCUCCCAGGAGCAUGUCUGUCUGAGUGUCGGAUUGUACCCAUCGCGGUUGGACCGUUUCCACGGCAGCCGCGGCGUUGAGGCGACACGACGCGKUCCCGGUUGGUCGUGUCUCUCGAAACCGAGCGUAGCCCCGUUGCCGCAGCGGUCGCGUCCGACUCUGUCCGCCAAAAAGGGGAGGCUUAAGGCUGACCUUUCCCUGGACGGAGGAGGUCCGACGUGGCGAGGGACGGAGGCCAACGAGAGAGAAAGAGAAAGAGAGCAAAGGCAGUGAAAAGGCAUCUUGACCUCAGAUCAGGCAA